RNAcentral lists this long non-coding RNA (451 nucleotides) under Pan troglodytes (chimpanzee). RNAcentral describes it as "long non-coding RNA NONPTRT006835". The record is from RNAcentral. Lineage: Eukaryota; Metazoa; Chordata; Mammalia; Primates; Hominidae.
UGGGAAGCAAGCAAUGGGGCGGGGCAGAGAGCCAGGUCUCCCGGGUUCUUGAGAGAAGGGUUGGGAACUAACUGGGUCCGUAGAAGGAAGGACCCGGGCCCGGGAGAGAGGAAAGGGCGUGCCCAGCAGCCUAAGGGCAGGUUCCCUGGAAGGACGGAAAGCCACUGACCGCUCGCUGACUCCCUGGACUCGCUGCACAUUGGAGAAGAGUGUGUGGUGAUCACGGGGGGUGAGCGUGUCCCGGAGUGCCUGGCUCAGCACGAAGGUGUCGGUCAGCAGCCGCAGGGAGCGCAGACCAGAGAUUUCUGAGUCUCCUUGUCAGCCGUCUCACGUAGCAACCAUUGUCUGGAACGCCCUAUUUGUGUGUCAAGAAAGCUCAUCGUGAUGGACUGCAAGCUCUCACACCUCCCACCAGCACCUGCAGCCCCUUAUCUCCCCUGCUGUGGCCAUC